Molecule: long non-coding RNA, 7625 nt
Filed under: Arachis ipaensis
Lineage: Eukaryota; Viridiplantae; Streptophyta; Magnoliopsida; Fabales; Fabaceae
Description: long non-coding RNA (AIPA_LNC000429)
Source: RNAcentral
GGUCAUCAACGAGGAGGUUAGUACGGAAAUAACUUUGUUUUACCGGUACACGUGACUUAGUGAUUUUGCAUGCGGGUUAGAUGGUGGUUUAUGUUAGUGGUUUAUGUUGGUGGUUUCUGUUAGUGGUUUAUGUAAGUGGUUUAUGUUGGUGGUUUAUCUUAGUGGUUUACGUUGGUGGUUUACGUUGGUGGUUUACGUUGGUAGUUUAUGUAAGUGGUUUACGUUAACGGUUUAUGUCAGUGGUUUAUCUUAGCGGUUUAGUUGUGGUUAUUUUGUUAGAUCUUUCAUGUCAGUGGUUUAUGCUGGUUUCUUAUGUUAGUUGUUUAUGCAAGUGGUUCUCGUUCUUGGAUUUUUAAACGGUCAUAUUUAGUACGAUUUUUUGGUUUAUGGAUUAUCACGUUGAUUAUGUUUGUCACUGGUAAUUAAGUUGGUUCUAAUAAUGCGGUUCAUUUCUUCUGCAGCCUCGGCGAUGCAUCAGGAGCAUGCGGCGGCAGCAGAGCAUGCUUCUCGAUGACAGAUACGUUCCGUACCUACAGAUGGCCGGUCUAUACCAUUUUGCAAGGCUGAACGAUAGAUGGUUCCGGUUGGACGAGGCCCUUGUCAGUGCGUUUGUCGAGCGAUGGCGUCCGGAAACGCACACGUUUCAUAUGCCGUUCGGAGAGUGCACGAUCACACUCCAGUGCACGGGCGUUACGUCAGCGGCUGCCUAUCAGAGUUCCAGAUAUACAUCCAGGGUGGCCGUCCAGCCUGGGUGUGGUUCGAGGAGUUGCUUGGAGUGGUACCUCCUCCUAGCCAGGUUCAGAAGUACGCGGUCAACUGCAGCUGGUUUCAGGAGACUUUUGGUGAGUGCCCGGAGGGAGUUGAUGAGGAGACUGUGCGUCGAUGUGCCCGUGCGUGCAUCAUGAUGUUGGGCACGCAGCUGUUUGCGGACAAGUCCGGCAACCGCAUUCACAUCAGAUGGCUUCCGUUUGUAGCUAGGCUGGAGGAGAUGGGAACCUACAGCUGGGGUUCUGCAGCACUGGCAUGGUUGUACCGGUGCAUGUGCCGAGUGGCGAACAGAAAUGUUAUCAAGCUAGCGGGCCCACUUCAACUACUUCAGUCAUGAAUUUUCUGGCGAUUUCCUCGGUUUAGGCAUGCAGGGUUUGAGACGUUCAGCUGGCCAUUGGCCUCAAGGUACUGUACUAAGCCUUGUCUAUUUCAAUUUACUAUACAUAACUACGUGUUCAUUUAUAAUGUAUUGGAUACCUUAAGCACACAUUUAAGUAGCGGUAAGACGUGUAUGAUGCAGGUGGUCAGGUUACAACCCUUCCAGUAGCGAGAAGGGUCCUAGAGUUCAGAUGUGGAGGCUCUGGAUAGACCGGUUGCAGGAUAGAGAGGUCAGUAUGUUACUUAAUAAGUUUCUUUAUUUAACCACACUUUACGAGUUGGUUUCAUGAGUUGCCCCGACACUGUAUAGUUCUUGGUGCAGUUUAUCUGGAUGUCGUACAGCAGCCCCGACGUACUUCAGGUUGUGCAUCCAGAGGUUUUGGAGCCUCGGCAUAUGGUGCUGUGGCGGUCUGUUACGUCGCUUAUCUACUUUGCCGUCAUAGAGUGGCAUUAGAUAGAUAGGGUUCUUCCGCAGUUUGGAGGGGUGCAGCUCCGUCCACAUCCCGCCCUGAAUAUCGACUUUCUGAUGUCGAAGGACGGCAGAGGCGGCGAUCGAUGGUUCCCGUACCAUUUGCAGAAGUGGCAUCUCCAUUGGGAGUCCCGUGCGGAGGUUCGAUGUUGUUGCUGACCCUGGUUCGUCGCAUGAGUUCCUGGAGUGGUGGAGUCAGCACGGGAAGAGGUUCUUGUCUCCGGAUCCGCACUUGGGGGAUCCGAGAGCCGUUGCUAUUCCUGUUGAGGCCUCACAGCGGGGAGCUGGGCGAGUUCCUGAGAUGGAUCGUCCUGACGACGUGCCGGACAGGCAGCGGGUUGAGAGGAGAGCUCGCAUGGGACACGGCGGAGCCAGCGUGACUGGAGGUGGCUUGAUCGUGCUAUGGAGGAUGAUGACGAGGCCGGCCCCGCUAGGGUCGACAACGAGGCCAGCGAGGUAGAGGUAGAGGGCGUGCUGCGGUUCAUGCCGCUGCUCCUGACCCUGAGGACGAUGACGACGAUCAGCAUGGGCCCGAAGGCGGGGACGGUGCAGGGGCGGCUGCAGUUGCUGGUGUUAGUACCCAGGAUGGGGGCACGGAGGUGAGUGGUAUGGCUCAGGGAUGGGUGACGGGGCUGAGCCUAGUGACGCUGGACUUGGGUCGGGUAUACCAACAAAGUACCGUCCUGCUGAGGUAGGCUCAGCCCCGUCACCCAUCCCUGAGCCAUACCACUCACCUCCGUGCUCCCCAUCCUGGAUACUAACACCAGCAACUGCAGCCGCCCCUGCACCAUCCCCGCCCUCGGACCCAUGCUGAUCGUCGUCAUCGUCCUUAGGGUCAGGAGCAGCGGCAUGAACCGCAGCUCGCCCUCUACCUCUGCCUCGCUAGCCUCGUCGUCGACCCCCAGCGGGGGUCCGGCCUCGUCAUCAUCCUCCAUAGCACGAUCAAGCCACCUCCAGUCACGCUGGCUCCGCCGUGUCCCCACGCGAGCUCUCCUCUCACCCGCCGCUUGUCCGGCACGUUGUCAGGACGAUCCAUCUCAGGAACUCGCCCAGCUCCCCGCUGUGAGGCCUCAACAGGAAUAGCAACGGCUCUCGGAUCCUCCAAGUGCGGAUCCGGAGACAAGAACCUCUUCCCGUGCUGACUCCACCACUCCAAGAACUCACGCGACGGACCAGGGUCAACAACAACAUCGAACCUCAGCACGCUCUCCGCACGGGACUCCCAAUGGAGAUGCCACUUCUGCAAAUGGUACGAAAACCAUCGAUCGCCGCCUCUGCCGUCCUUCGACAUCAGAAAGUCGAUGUUCAGGGCGGGAUGUGGACGGGGCUGCACCCCUCCAAACUGCGGAAGAACCAUAUCUAUCUGAUGCCACUCUAUGACGGCAAAGUAGAUAAGCGACGUAACAGACCGCCACAGCGCCAUAUGCCGAUGCUCCAAAACCUCUGGAUGCACAACCUGAAGUACGUCAGGGCUGCUGUACGGCAUCCAGAUAAACUGCACCAAGAACUAUACAGUGUCAGGGCAACUCAUGAACCCAACUCGUAAAGUGUGGUUAAAUAAAAAAACUUAUUAAGUAACAUACUGACCUCUCUAUCCUGUAACCGGUCUAUCCAGAGCCUCCACAUCUGAACUCUAGAACCCUUCUCGCUACUGAAAAUGUUGUAACCUGACCACCUGCAUCAUACACGUCUUACCGCUACUUAAAUGUGUGCUUAGGGUAUCCAAUACAUUAUAAAUGAACACGUAGUUAUGUAUAGUAAAUUGAAAUAGACAAAGCUUAGUACAGUACCUCGAGGCCAAUGGCCAGCUGAACGUCUCAAACCCUGCAGGCCUAAAACGAGAAAAUCGCCAGAAAAUUCAUGACUGAAGUAGCUGAGGUGGGCCCGCUAGCUUGAUAACAUUUCUGUUCGCCACUCGGCACAUACACCGGUACAACCAUGCCAGUGCUGCAGAACCCCAGCUGUAGGUCCCCAUCUCCUCCAGCAUAGCUACAAACGGAAGCCAUCUGAUUUGAAUGCGGUUGCCGGACUUGUCCGCAAAUAGCUACGUGCCCAACAACAUCAUGAUGUACGCACGGGCAUAUCGACGCACAGUCUCCUCAUCAGCUCCCUCCGGACACUCACCAAAAGUCUCCUGAAACCAGCUGCAGUUGACCGCGUAUUUCUGAACCUGGCUAGGAGGAGGUACCACUCCAAGCAACUCCUCGAACCACACCCAGGCUGAACGGCCACCCUGGAUGUAUAUCUGGAACUCUGAUAGACAGCCGCUGACGUAACACCCGUCCACUGGCAAACCCAGCUGGUAUGCCACGUCCUGGAGUGUGAUCGUGCACUCUCCGAGCGGCAUAUGAAACGUGUGUGUUUCCGGACGCCAUCGCUCGACGAACGCACUGACAAGGGCCUCGUCCAACCGGAACCAUCUAUCGUUCAGCCUUGCAAGAUGGUAUAGACCGGCCAUCUGCAGGUACGGAACGUAUCUGUUAUCGAGGAGCAUGCCCUGCUGCCGCCGCAUGCUCCUGAUGCAUCGCUGAUGCUGCGGAAGAAAUGAACCGCAUUAUUAGAACCAACUUAAUUACCAGUGACAAACAUAAUCAACACGAUAAUUCAUAAACCAAAAAAUCGUACUAAAUAUAACCGCUUAAAAAUCCAAGAACGAGAACCACUUGCAUAAACAACUAACAUAAGAAACCAGCAUAAACCACUGACAUGAAAGAUCUAACAUAAAACAACCACAACUAAACCGCUAACAUAAACCACUAACAUAAACCACUAACGUCAACUUCUAAGAUAAACCACUAACAUAAACCGUUAACGUAAACCACUUACAUAAACCACUGAGAUAAACUAAACCACUUACAUAAACCACUGAGAUAAACCACCAACAUAAACCACCAACAUAAACUACUAACAUGAACCACUAACGUAAACCACUAACAUAAACCACCAACAUAAACCGUUAACGUAAACCACUUACAUAAACCACUAAGAUAAACCACCAACAUAAACCACUAAUAGAAACCACUAACAUAAACCAUUAACGGAAACCACUAACAUAAACCACCAUCUAACCCGCAUGCAAAACCACUAAGUCACAUGUACCGGUAGAACAAAGUUAUUUCCGUACUAACCUCCUCGUUGAUGACCCCAGCUAUAUGGGCGACUCCGUCCAAGCGAUAUAACCGUGCCGGAUCGUCCCCCAUCAGCAGAGUAUUCCAUUCAGAUCUUUGUCGGAGAGAAUCUGGGUCGUUUUCUCUGAGAUUUGGUGGGGUAGGGGAAGGUGAGAAUGAUUCGAAUGAGGCUGAUUCGAACUCCUUAUAUAGCCGAAUCACUAGUAAUUCGAAUCAGGGUAGUUCGAAUUAUUAAGAACCCAGCAUAAGUGUAAUUCGAACCAGAGUGGUUCGAAUUACUUGAAGACUUUACUUGCCUAUAAUUCGAACUAAGCUAGUUCGAUUUACGUGGAGACGGAGUUCGAACUUUGCUGAUUUGAAUUACAACCAACUUUUCAUCAAUCUAAUUCGAACUUGGCUGGUUCGAUUUACUAAGAAAUCUAAUUCGAACCGAGUUGAAAUUACAUAUAUAUAGCUCCUGGCUCAUUAUUGAAACGAAUUUCAAUUUAGCUUAUUUACGUAGUUCUCAACUUGCCUUGGCUUAUUCUAGUUUUUUGCCCUAAAAUCACUAACUAAAUAAAAAAAGUUAAGUCCAAUACUCUAAUACAGCCAAAAAUAAGCAACUUUGAAAAUAACAAAAAAUGAAGUCAAUUUUUACGUAGCAACUUAGCUAUUAAAAAGUGAAUCCAAAGCCUUCAGGUUGCAUAGUUAACUGUAAAUGACAAAUCAUCUACGACUUUUGCAACUGGUUUUAUUCACAGCCUUCAUUGAACCUGUUUCUUUUGCACAUGACGUGAUGACAAUGACAAUUAAUAGAAGCAAAUAAAUUUGUAUAAAUCAGUGACGAACAGAAGCAAUGCUAGAUAAUAAAAUUAGUUGAAACAAAAACAGAUGUAUUUAUAUAUUAAAAUACAAUUUAACUAUAGAUCAUACCAAGAAUGAAGAAUUCAACCAAUACUAAUUCUAUACAUAGUUUAUUCAAAAACUAAUAGGAAAAACUAUUCCAUAAUAAUGAACAAAAGAAUUUGUUAAUAGAUAUGAUUAUAUUUACGAUGGUCCAACGCUUUUUUCAGUCAAACACUUCUACCUACUAUACUAUUAUAGCAUCACUUCUUUCUGAAAUCUCUCACCCACUAAAGGGAACAGAAAGAGAACAAAAGAAGAAAAAGUAGGACAAUGAAUUGAAAAACAAAGAAACCAAGUUUAUAACGUUAGCUAUAACCUAGUAACUAUUGAUGACUAUUUUUGGUAUAGAAUAGAGUAGUUAUUUGCUUGAAUAUUAUGGUGCAUUUGGUUUGCGUUUUCAUUUUCUGUUUUCAUUUUCAGCAUUUUCUAUUUCUUGGAUUUUGUAAAGGUUCCUGUUUUUACUUUUUAUUUCACAAAAUCCAGAAAACAGAAAACACAGAAAAUGAAAACGCAAACCAAACACACCCUUAGGAUUCAACAAUAUAAUCAAGAGAUAUGAUUAUUUUAGAAAUGUAUAUUACUCACUCCCAUUGACACCUACUCUCCUUAACUCACCUUCUCUCUUUGACUAAAGCUUACUCAUACUUUCUCAAUUUUGUGAAGGGAAAAAGAUCUAAAUCAAGUACUGCUUGUACAAAAAGAUGAAAUAAAAAUGAUGAUUUAUAAAUCACAUAUCUCUAAACAAAAAUUGUUUCAAUUAUUUUUUUUCCAAUACUCAGAGCUGGUCAUGAUUUUAACUCAUUAGAAGAUCCCAAACACAAAAAGAAAAUUUUUUAUUCAAAAAGCCUCAUUAUUUUAAGUAUUUUAAUUUAGCUUCACUGCUCAUAUAAUAGUAUUAGUCUGAAGAACACCUAAUAUUAUGACCUAAACACAUUUUUUUAUUAAAAAAGAAGAAAAGAAAAGUACUCUGCUUUUUAUAAGAGCAAUAAGUUCAGAAUAGAAUGUAAAUAUGUAAUAAUCACAUUUAAUGUUCAUUAGCUCCACAAUAGCUUAAAGGUCUUAAUCUAGUGUAAUCUUCUUGGCCUAUUUCAAAAAAAUUGAGACAAACCAAGACCCUCCCAAAACAAACUUGAUAAAUAGUGAACUAACUCACAAGCAGCGUCCCACAAACCCAAAUUCAUGGUGCUCCCAUCCACAAUAAGCAAUUACCAAGGUCCUACAAUAGAUAAUCCUAUUUGUGAUUAUGAUUAGUUUAUAAAUAUGAAAGGCUCCUAUAACAGUAUAGCCUCUGGUACUUCAGCAUUGAAGUUCAAUGCGUAGUUAUUUCCAAAUUCCUUACACAAAAUGGUAUUAUUAUAAAGAAAGAAGCUAAAUUUUCCUUUCAAAAAAACUUCACUUCCAUGAACUUUUAAAAUUCCAAAAUAUUCUUCAGCUUCUUUUUUUUUUUUUAAAUCAAGAAGCAAAAUCUCUUUAUUAUAAAGACAAAAUCUUUAAGCAAAGCAAAGCUACAGUCAAACUAACAUUUGGAAUCUAAACUGAAUUUUAACAAUUGUAUAAUUGUGGCCCUAAUUUCCUGAAUUUCCAACAAACAACAAAUGAUUUACAAUUCAAAUAUAAAUUCCAAAAUUGUACAUUGACCACUUACAAUUAACAACAUUGUCCAAUCUUUUUUCUUUCUGUUGAAGAGUGCAUUAACAUAGAAUGUAAAAGACAUCAAUUGAAAAUCAUAGUAGGUUGAAAUAGCAAGAUAUGCACAAGAUAGACCUACGAAUAACUUGAACCAAAUGCGAGAGAAAAAGGUAAAAUAUGUGAACAGGGCAAUGAAAGCAACUACCAAAGUAUAAGUAACAAUGCACUUGAAUGUUGAAAGUUGCUUUUCAUUUAUUUCGUUAAGGAACUGACCUUGAAAUCAGAGAACAAUUGGUCCUUUUUCUGGAAUGUGUCCAUUAGCCAUAGCAACUUCAGUUUCACAAGCUGGAAUCUCAUCCACUGGAAUC